This is a long non-coding RNA of Chiroxiphia lanceolata (lance-tailed manakin), 273 nucleotides long. RefSeq lists it as uncharacterized. NCBI's taxonomy places the organism in Eukaryota, Metazoa, Chordata, Aves, Passeriformes, Pipridae. The record is from RefSeq and is a predicted model, not a curated record. The transcript is spliced from 3 exons.
CACAGACUUGAUUUUUCCAUGUACAGAGGAAAACACUAGGAAAGAGACCAGAAUAGUGCUGUGUGUCAUUUUCCAAGGUGACUGCUAGAGCAGAACAAGGUGCUGAUAUGGAGCCAGCUAUAGAACUGAAUAGUUACAAGACAUGGCUAAUUCACAGUGAGAAAAUAAUGAGGGGUCGUUGGAGGAAAUUUAAGGCCUGGACUUGCACAAAAGACACAAAUAUCUGCUUCUCAGAUGUCACCCCAAGAGAAGUCUGCAAAACUAAGAAUUGUG